UAGAAGAAGUGCUCCAGAUGUGGGAGCAGCAAAAGAUAGUGUCAGAGUUGGUCACCCAGCACCAGUCUUUGUGUUCCACGAAAACUGCGGAACCAACAUUCGUCUGACGAACGGUAACAGGACCGCGGAGAAGAUACAGCCGCAUGCGUUUAAUAAUGGGGUGGUCGUGUCACGUGACCCUAUGUUGGCCGACGUCUUGUAUGAAGUCAGAGUGGACACAGUAACAGGCGGGUACAACGAGCUAGCACUGGGUGUGACAAGAAUUUCUCCUGCACACGUCUUUGUGACAAAAUAUGCUUCAGAGCUGCCAGACUCCGUUAUCAUCGGGCCCGGUGAGGUCUCCUACCAGCAAAGAUGUAUGCAGAUACCGCUCGGAGUAGACCUCAAGAGACUUCACGUCGGGAGUCGAGUCGGGUUGCUGGUGACCUCAUCAAACGACCUUCACCUCUACAUUGACGGACGACCAGGGUGUUGUAGCCAAAAUGUUACA
RNAcentral lists this unclassified non-coding RNA (490 nucleotides) under Pomacea canaliculata. Its description in RNAcentral is "uncharacterized LOC112576297, transcript variant X1". The record is from RNAcentral. Lineage: Eukaryota; Metazoa; Mollusca; Gastropoda; Architaenioglossa; Ampullariidae.